UAGUCUGUAGCUCUGUUGGUUAGAGCGCUGUACUGGAAUCACAGCUUCGUACGUUCAAAUCCUACCAGAGGAG
Paramuricea clavata is the source of this 73-nucleotide non-coding RNA. NCBI's taxonomy places the organism in Eukaryota, Metazoa, Cnidaria, Anthozoa, Malacalcyonacea, Plexauridae. The record is from the annotation of a GenBank genome assembly.